Molecule: ribosomal RNA, 253 nt
Filed under: uncultured bacterium
Lineage: Bacteria
Description: partial 16S ribosomal RNA
Rfam family: Bacterial small subunit ribosomal RNA
Source: RNAcentral
GCUCAUGCUCAGGACGAACGCUGGCGGUGCGCCUAACACAUGCAAGUCGAACGGAGCUUAGAGAGCUUGCUUUUUAAGCUUAGUGGCGAACGGGUGAGUAACGCGUGAGUAACCUGCCCUAGAGUGGGGGACAACAGUUGGAAACGACUGCUAAUACCGCAUAAGCCCACGGUACCGCAUGGUACUGAGGGAAAAGGAUUUAUUCGCUUUAGGAUGGACUCGCGUCCAAUUAGCUAGUUGGUGAGGUAACCGG